UUUAACCANGAAAGUCACGGCUAAUUACGUNCNAGCAGCCNNGGUAAUACGUAGGUGGCAANCGUUAUCCGGAUUUAUUGGGCGUAAAGAGAGNNCAGGCGGUUUUCUAAGUCUGAUGAGAAAGCCUUCGGCUUAACCGGAGAAGUGCAUCGGAAACUGGAUAACUUGAGUGCAGAAGAGGGUAGUGGAACUCCAUGUGUAGCGGUGGAAUGCGUAGAUAUAUGGAAGNNCACCAGUGGCGAAGGCGGCUACCUGGUCUGCAACUGACGCUGAGACUCGAAAGCAUGGGUAGCGAACAGGAUUAGAUACCCUGGUAGUCCAUGCCGUAAACGAUGAGUGCUAGGUGUUGGAGGGUUUCCGCCCUUCAGUGCCGGAGCUAACGCAUUAAGCAYUCCGCCUGGGGAGUACGACCGCAAGGUUGAAACUCAAAGGAAUUGACGGGGGCCCGCACAAGCGGUGGAGCAUGUGGUUUAAUUCGAAGCUACGCGAAGAACCUUACCAGGUCUUGACAUCUUGCGCCAACCCUAGAGAUAGGGCGUUUCCUUCGGGAACGCAAUGACAGGUGGUGCAUGGUCGUCGUCAGCUCGUGUCGUGAGAUGUUGGGUUAAGUCCCGCAACGAGCGCAACCCUUGUUACUAGUUGCCAGCAUUAAGUUGGGCACUCUAGUGAGACUGCCGGUGACAAACCGGAGGAAGGUGGGGACGACGUCAGAUCAUCAUGCCCCUUAUGACCUGGGCUACACACGUGCUACAAUGGACGGUACAACGAGUCGCGAACUCGCGAGGGCAAGCAAAUCUCUUAAAACCGUUCUCAGUUCGGACUGCAGGCUGCAACUCGCCUGCACGAAGUCGGAAUCGCUAGUAAUCGCGGAUCAGCAUGCCGCGGUGAAUACGUUCCCGGGCCUUGUACACACCGCCCGUCACACCAUGAGAGUUUGUAACACCCAAAGUCGGUGGGNUAACCC
RNAcentral lists this ribosomal RNA (964 nucleotides) under Limosilactobacillus fermentum. RNAcentral's name for it is "bacterial SSU rRNA". It matches the Rfam family "Bacterial small subunit ribosomal RNA", at positions 474 to 1441 of the family's 1533-position model. The record is from RNAcentral. Lineage: Bacteria; Bacillati; Bacillota; Bacilli; Lactobacillales; Lactobacillaceae.